Long non-coding RNA from Homo sapiens (human), 510 nucleotides. Ensembl annotates it as AQP4 antisense RNA 1. Its record names the gene AQP4-AS1. The record is from Ensembl. NCBI's taxonomy places the organism in Eukaryota, Metazoa, Chordata, Mammalia, Primates, Hominidae.
ACGACAGUGCAAGUGUUCGAAAGCACAAAGGCAGACUGUCUACCCGCGACAGUUCGCAAGUUGCGGUGGCGGGGCGGCUGUGCGGAGCGCGCGUGCAGGAGGGUAGAAUAACAUGGAAAGCAGCUUUUAUUCACUCCAAGGACAGCUAACUCACAUACAACAAAGGGCAGAAUAAGUCUCUAGGUGCAUAGAUUAGCCUCAGGGUGUCAUGGGUGUGUGUGUCUUACUUAGGAACCUCUUUAAAAAUAACUACCUUGUGAUUAGUAUCUGAUGCUAAUGGUAUAUUUUCAUUUAGAAAGUCUGAGGUCUUUAUUUUCUGAGACAGUGAAUGAACUUCUUUUCACCUUGUUCCUGGCUGUUUUUCCUCCAUUGCCUUAAUAAAGACUGAGGUGCAUAGGCACAUACACCUUCCUGCAAAUGGUAAAUUUUCUAAUAAAACAGUUUCCCUUUCUAUUAUAAUUCCAGUUGAGUGAAAUAUAAAAUAUUUACUAAGCCCCUUUUUUAUUUUUA